GUCCUUUCAGGGACAUCUAAUAAAAUUGGAACGAUACAGAGAAGAUUAGCAUGGCCCUUGUGCGAUGCACAAAUCGAGAAAUGGUACAAAUUUUU
Molecule: small nuclear RNA, 95 nt
Filed under: Capsicum annuum
Lineage: Eukaryota; Viridiplantae; Streptophyta; Magnoliopsida; Solanales; Solanaceae
Source: RNAcentral